RNAcentral lists this ribosomal RNA (500 nucleotides) under uncultured bacterium. Its description in RNAcentral is "partial 16S ribosomal RNA". It matches the Rfam family "Bacterial small subunit ribosomal RNA", at positions 30 to 523 of the family's 1533-position model. The record is from RNAcentral.
AUUGAACGCUGGCGGCAUGCCUUACACAUGCAAGUCGAACGGCAGCGGGGACUUCGGUCCGCCGGCGAGUGGCGAACGGGUGAGUAAUGUAUCGGAACGUACCUUUCAGUGGGGGAUAACGUAGCGAAAGUUACGCUAAUACCGCAUAUUCUCGGAGGCGGAAAGCAGGGGACCUUCGGUCCUUGCGCUGAUGGAGCGGCCGAUAUCAGAGUAGCUAGUUGGUGGGGUAAAGGCUCACCAAGGCUACGAUCUGUAGCGGGUCUGAGAGGAUGAUCCGCCACACUGGGACUGAGACACGGCCCAGACUCCUACGGGAGGCAGCAGUGGGGAAUUUUGGACGAUGGGCGAAAGCCUGAUCCAGCCAUGCCGCGUGAGUGAAGAAGGCCUUCGGGUUGUAAAGCUCUUUCGGACGGGAAGAAAUCAUGAGGGCUAAUAUCCCUUGUGGAUGACGGUACCGUAAUAAGAAGCACCGGCUAACUACGUGCCAGCAGCCGCGGUAA